This 498-nucleotide ribosomal RNA is filed under the name uncultured bacterium. Its description in RNAcentral is "partial 16S ribosomal RNA". It matches the Rfam family "Bacterial small subunit ribosomal RNA", at positions 29 to 523 of the family's 1533-position model. The record is from RNAcentral.
AUUGAACGCUGGCGGAAUGCUUUACACACGCAAGUCGAGCGGCAGCGCGGGGCAACCUGGCGGCGAGCGGCGAACGGGUGAGUAAUGUAUCGGAACGUGUCCUGUCGUGGGGGAUAGCCCGGUGAAAACCGGAUUAAUACCGCAUACGAUCGAGAGAGGAAAGAGGGGGACGGCAAGGCCUCACGCGAUAGGAGCGGCCGAUAUCUGAUUAGCUAGUUGGUGGGGUAAAGGCCCACCAAGGCUUCGAUCAGUAGCUGGUCUGAGAGGAUGAUCAGCCACACUGGGACUGAGACACGGCCCAGACUCCUACGGGAGGCAGCAGUGGGGAAUUUUGGACAAUGGGGGCAACCCUGAUCCAGCCAUUCCGCGUGAGUGAAGAAGGCCUUCGGGUUGUAAAGCUCUUUUGUCCGGGAAGAAACGGUUUUGGCUAAUAACCAAGACUACUGACGGUACCGGAAGAAUAAGGACCGGCUAACUACGUGCCAGCAGCCGCGGUAA